RNAcentral lists this ribosomal RNA (253 nucleotides) under uncultured bacterium. RNAcentral's name for it is "partial 16S ribosomal RNA". It matches the Rfam family "Bacterial small subunit ribosomal RNA", at positions 524 to 776 of the family's 1533-position model. The record is from RNAcentral.
UACGGAGGGGGCCAGCGUUGUUCGGAAUUAUUGGGCGUAAAGGGCUCGUAGGCGGCCAACUAAGUCCGACGGGAAAUCCCCAGGCUUAACCUGGGAACUGCGUCGGAUACUGGAUGGCUUGAAUCCGGGAGAGGGAUGCGGAAUUCCAGGUGUAGCGGUGAAAUGCGUAGAUAUCGUAAGGAGGACCAGUGGCGAAGGCGGGUCUCUGGACAGUUCCUGACGCUGAGGCACGAAGGCCAGGGGAGCAAACGGG